RNAcentral lists this ribosomal RNA (500 nucleotides) under uncultured bacterium. Its description in RNAcentral is "partial 16S ribosomal RNA". It matches the Rfam family "Bacterial small subunit ribosomal RNA", at positions 30 to 523 of the family's 1533-position model. The record is from RNAcentral.
AUUGAACGCUGGCGGAAUGCUUUACACAUGCAAGUCGAACGGCAGCACGGACUUCGGUCUGGUGGCGAGUGGCGAACGGGUGAGUAAUGUAUCGGAAAGUGCCCAGUCGUGGGGGAUAACGUAGUGGAAAUUACGCUAAUACCGCAUACGAUCUAUGGAUGAAAGCGGGGGAUCGCAAGACCUCGCGCGAUUGGAGCGGCCGAUAUCAGAUUAGGUAAUUGGUGGGGUAAAGGCCCCCCAAGCCAACGAUCUGUAGCUGGUCUGAGAGGACGACCAGCCACACUGGAACUGAGACACGGUCCAGACUCCUACGGGAGGCAGCAGUGGGGAAUUUUGGACAAUGGGCGAAAGCCUGAUCCAGCCAUUCCGCGUGCAGGAUGAAGGCCCUCGGGUUGUAAACUGCUUUUGUACAGAACGAAAAGGUUUCUACUAAUACUAGGAGCUCAUGACGGUACUGUAAGAAUAAGCACCGGCUAACUACGUGCCAGCAGCCGCCGUAA